Transfer RNA from Melipona quadrifasciata, 84 nucleotides. It matches the Rfam family "tRNA". Rfam says of the family: Transfer RNA (tRNA) molecules are approximately 80 nucleotides in length. Their secondary structure includes four short double-helical elements and three loops (D, anti-codon, and T loops). Lineage: Eukaryota; Metazoa; Arthropoda; Insecta; Hymenoptera; Apidae. The record is from Rfam.
GCCAGGUUGGCCGAGCGGUCUAAGGCGCCAGACUUAAGUUCUGGUUCCCAAUUGGGAGCGUGGGUUCGAACCCCACACCUGGCA